RNAcentral lists this ribosomal RNA (506 nucleotides) under Tomlinia frausseni. RNAcentral's name for it is "partial 16S ribosomal RNA". It matches the Rfam family "Bacterial large subunit ribosomal RNA", at positions 1841 to 2603 of the family's 2925-position model. Lineage: Eukaryota; Metazoa; Mollusca; Gastropoda; Neogastropoda; Nassariidae. The record is from RNAcentral.
CAAAAUAGGGAGUCGGACCUGCCCGGUGAAUUUUUUUAACGGCCGCGGUACUCUGACCGUGCAAAGGUAGCAUAAUCAUUUGCCUUAUAAUUGAAGGCUAGUAUGAAUGGUUUGACGAGAAUAUAGCUGUCUCUUUAUAAUUUAUUAGAAUUUUACCUAAAGGUGAAGAGGCCUUUAUUAUACUAAUAGACAAGAAGACCCUAUCGAGCUUUAAAAUAAUUAAUAGAUAAAUAGGCUUUAAUAGAAUUAAAAGGCAAUCUAUUACUAAUUUUAAUUGGGGCGAUUGAGGAACAAUAAAAGCUUCCUUUAAAUUUAUUAUAAAUUAUACAAAUAUUGAUCCAAAAUGUUUUGAUUAAAGGAAUUAGUUACCGUAGGGAUAACAGCAUUAUCUUUUUUGAGAGUUCAUAUCGAAAAAAAGGUUUGUGACCUCGAUGUUGGACCAGAAUAUCCCAAAGAUGCAGCAGUCUUUAAAGGUUGGUCUGUUCGACCAUUAAAAUUCUACCUGA